GGCCUGCUAUUAUAUAGAAGUAAGACUAGAGUGUCCGUUUUUUAAACCCAUAGCUAUAAUAUGGAAACCCCGGUCGAUAUUGUAUUUAACCAUAUCAUAAUGUCAUAUAAUUAAAUAUAAAAAAAAAAAA
This is a long non-coding RNA of Gadus morhua (Atlantic cod), 130 nucleotides long. RefSeq lists it as uncharacterized. Lineage: Eukaryota; Metazoa; Chordata; Actinopteri; Gadiformes; Gadidae. The transcript is spliced from 2 exons. The record is from RefSeq and is a predicted model, not a curated record.